GUCUGUGGCUUCAGCUAAGCAUGUUUUUGUUAUCCAUGUUUAUUGAAUGAAAUAUUAUUGUUGCGGACGAUUAGGUUUGCCAUUAAUUAUAACAAUUUGAUGGGUUACAAUUAUGAGUUAUGACCAGAUUCAUCUCUAUAAUAAUCUUUGCAUUUAUAUGAUGCUUAAAUGCACACGUCUCAUCUCAAACACAUGAAAAGCAGCUGUACCGAUGCAGCACCAGCGGACUCAGCACACAGAACCACCGGAUUAACGUCGUGCGUCACCGCCAGCUGCACCCAGUCGAGUCCCGGAUGGAGCCGGCGACCCUCCCCACUCAGCCUCAUCGCGGGGGGUUUCUUGCCAAUGAGCCCGCCGCUCGAAAUCGAAGGUGAGCAGCAAGCUGACGGUGCCGUUGGACUCCAUCGGCGACCAUCCGUGAGGGGUCGCGCGCACGUGCCGCCCGGACUCUCUCCCAGUGUCCAGCAGAGCGAGCGGGCGCCUUCUUUGGCUACUUUACUGAAAUUUGGGCCGAUUUAAAAAACUGCACCGCUGAAGACUCAGCUGGGAUCAUUCAGCACACAGGGUCGCGAUCGUUGCUGCCUACUGGCGGACUGGUCAUUCUUGCAAGCUACACUCAUCCUGCUCCCUUGCGUUCUCAGCUGGCUGUACAAAAUAAUCUUGCAAUGAUAAAGCUCUCUCUGUCUCGAAAUCAGCUCAAGCCUCCCAUAAAUCUCGCGACUUCUGCGUGGCCACUCCCACUCUGAAUCCCUCCCCUCUCCCCACACCCUUUUCUAUCCUUUUCCAACGCAUCACAUCCCUCACUCUACUCCCCUUCCCCGCGGUCUAGUCGCGGGUGAACAGGUGCCGGUAAUUACGGAUCAAUGACAACGAUCCUCUGUGUCGGGUGGCAGCCCAGCAGAGGGGCUGUUACGAGCCGCGAGGCGCGGUGCGGACUCCU
This is a non-coding RNA of Petromyzon marinus (sea lamprey), 940 nucleotides long. The record is from RefSeq and is a predicted model, not a curated record. NCBI's taxonomy places the organism in Eukaryota, Metazoa, Chordata, Hyperoartia, Petromyzontiformes, Petromyzontidae.